CCUACGGGGGGCUGCAGUGGGGAAUCUUAGACAAUGGGGGAAACCCUGAUCUAGCCAUGCCGCGUGAGCGAUGAAGGCCUUAGGGUUGUAAAGCUCUUUCAGAUGGGAAGAUAAUGACGGUACCAUCAGAAGAAGCCCCGGCUAACUCCGUGCCAGCAGCCGCGGUAAUACGGAGGGGGCUAGCGUUGUUCGGAAUUACUGGGCGUAAAGCGCGCGUAGGCGGACUGGAAAGUUGGGGGUGAAAUCCCGGGGCUCAACCUCGGAACUGCCUUCAAAACUAUCAGUCUGGAGUUCGAGAGAGGUGAGUGGAAUUCCGAGUGUAGAGGUGAAAUUCGUAGAUAUUCGGAGGAACACCAGUGGCGAAGGCGGCUCACUGGCUCGAUACUGACGCUGAGGUGCGAAAGCGUGGGGAGCAAACAGGAUUAGAUACCCGAGUAGUC
RNAcentral lists this ribosomal RNA (440 nucleotides) under uncultured bacterium. RNAcentral describes it as "partial 16S ribosomal RNA". It matches the Rfam family "Bacterial small subunit ribosomal RNA", at positions 338 to 795 of the family's 1533-position model. The record is from RNAcentral.